AUCAUAUCAAGAGGACAUCUCCCAAUCAAUUGCUUGUAUCUUUCCCAAACUUCAUAGAGGGAUUCACCCUCUUUUUGUCUGAAGUUUUAUAAUUCCACCCUAAGCUU
Small nucleolar RNA from Arachis stenosperma, 107 nucleotides. The record is from RefSeq and is a predicted model, not a curated record. NCBI's taxonomy places the organism in Eukaryota, Viridiplantae, Streptophyta, Magnoliopsida, Fabales, Fabaceae.